CCUACGGGAGGCAGCAGUAAGGAAUAUUGGUCAAUGGACGAAAGUCUGAACCAGCCAUGCCGCGUGAAGGAUGAAGGCCCUCUGGGUUGUAAACUUCUUUUAUCUGGGACGAAAAAAGGGAAUUCUUUCCCACUUGACGGUACCAGAGGAAUAAGCACCGGCUAACUCCGUGCCAGCAGCCGCGGUAAUACGGAGGGUGCAAGCGUUAUCCGGAUUCACUGGGUUUAAAGGGAGCGUAGGUGGGUCUGUAAGUCAGUGGUGAAAUCUCCGAGCUUAACUCGGAAACUGCCAUUGAUACUAUAGGUCUUGAAUUAUCUGGAGGUAAGCGGAAUAUGUCAUGUAGCGGUGAAAUGCUUAGAUAUGACAUAGAACACCAAUUGCGAAGGCAGCUUGCUACGGAUAUAUUGACACUGAGGCUCGAAAGCGUGGGGAUCAAACAGGAUUAGAUACCCUGGUAGUCCACGCCCUAAACGAUGGAUACUCGACAUCAGCGAUACACUGUUGGUGUCUGAGCGAAAGCAUUAAGUAUCCCACCUGGGAAGUAACGACCGCAGGUUGAAACUUCAAAGGAAUUGACGGCUGAGCGNGCGAGCGACGACGAGGAGGAGG
Molecule: ribosomal RNA, 609 nt
Filed under: uncultured bacterium
Lineage: Bacteria
Description: bacterial SSU rRNA
Rfam family: Bacterial small subunit ribosomal RNA
Source: RNAcentral